RNAcentral lists this ribosomal RNA (257 nucleotides) under uncultured bacterium. RNAcentral's name for it is "partial 16S ribosomal RNA". It matches the Rfam family "Bacterial small subunit ribosomal RNA", at positions 524 to 776 of the family's 1533-position model. The record is from RNAcentral.
UACGAAGGGGGCGAGCGUUAUUCGGAAUCACUGGGCGUAAAGCGUGCGUAGGCUGUUGGCAAGUUGGGAAGAUGAAAGCCCAGGGCUCAACCCUGGAAUUGCUUUCAAAACUGCCAGACUCGAAUCUCGGAGAGGAUAGCGGAAUUUCCAGUGUAGUAGUGAAAUACGUAGAUAUUGGAAGGAACACCAGUGGCGCGAAGCGGCUAUCUGGACGAGUAGUUGACGCUGAGGCACGAAAGGCGUGGGGAUCAAACAGG